Molecule: long non-coding RNA, 774 nt
Organism: Mya arenaria
Lineage: Eukaryota; Metazoa; Mollusca; Bivalvia; Myida; Myidae
Exons: 3
Source: RefSeq, a predicted model, not a curated record
AGCAUAAUACUAAAUUGAGUUAACAACUACCGUGAAUAUAGUGGUGUGUAAUGAGUUUGACAUGAUAUAUCCAUAAAUACCGCUCUUCGGUUUUUGCAGGGUUAGAAAUAAGAUCAGGCAAAUAAAUACAGUGUUGUAUUUCAGUAUCUUGGCAUAGCUAUCAACAACCUAUUUUCGAUCCAAACCUGUUUUCGACUGGCACCGGAAAAUAUGUAAAACUCAUGGAUUGCACGUGACUUCCGCCUAGGCAGGUCAUAGGAGGAUCAUACAGAGUGGGGCCAGUGAUACCAGGGUUCAUGCUGGGUGCAUUUAUCCGCUUUAUCAUGUGAAAACCAGAAGUGAUGCAAAUGGUACACAUUAGAAAAUUAUGGUCCAUGUGAACACGUUCUGAAGACGUUUGACGCCAAAAUUUAGAGAUUCAAAAGUUAAGCAGUAUUUAAUUCGAAGAUCUACUACAACUCACGAGCCAUAUGCAGAACCAGAGAACAGAUGUUGUACCAGUGUAACACAUGCGGUGAUUAAGUCACAGAAACUCUGUACAUGACGCUCACAAGAAACUGAAAUAGACAUUUAACUUAAUGUAAAAGUAAAACAUGUAAUCAUGUUUUUUUCUCAAAAGUGUUCUCAAUAGAACAUGUUAAAUAUCGCACACCGGAUAUAUAUAUAUAUAUAUGUGAUACAUUCGAUGAUGCUUUCUCUCUGAUGGUAAUUUGGAUAUAGGAAAAAGAAACAGCUGUGAAGAAAUACAAUUGUAGAAUAUGUUAUCCUGAGUUU